GUGCCAGCCGCCGCGGUAAUACGGAGGGUGCAAGCGUUAAUCGGAAUUACUGGGCGUAAAGCGCGCGUAGGUGGCCUGAUAAGCCGGUUGUGAAAGCCCUGGGCUCAACCUAGGAACGGCAUCCGGAACUGUCAGGCUAGAGUGCAGGAGAGGAAGGUAGAAUUCCCGGUGUAGCGGUGAAAUGCGUAGAGAUCGGGAGGAAUACCAGUGGCGAAGGCGGCCUUCUGGACUGACACUGACACUGAGGUGCGAAAGCGUGGGUAGCAAACAGGAUUAGAAACCCGAGUAGUCC
Molecule: ribosomal RNA, 292 nt
Filed under: uncultured bacterium
Lineage: Bacteria
Description: partial 16S ribosomal RNA
Rfam family: Bacterial small subunit ribosomal RNA
Source: RNAcentral